Molecule: ribosomal RNA, 497 nt
Filed under: uncultured bacterium
Lineage: Bacteria
Description: partial 16S ribosomal RNA
Rfam family: Bacterial small subunit ribosomal RNA
Source: RNAcentral
GAUGAACGCUGGCGGUGUGCCUAAUACAUGCAAGUCGAGCGAACAGACGAGGAGCUUACUCCUCUGACGUUAGCGGGGGACGGGUGAGUAACACGUGGAUAACCUACCUAUAAGACUGGGAUAACUUCGGGAAACCGGAGCUAAUACCGGAUAACAUGUUGAACCGCAUGGUUCAACAGUGAAAGACGGUCUUGCUGUCACUUAUAGAUGGAUCCGCGUCGCAUUAGCUAGUUGGUAAGGUAACGGCUUACCAAGGCAACGAUGCGUAGCCGACCUGAGAGGGUGAUCGGCCACACUGGAACUGAGACACGGUCCAGACUCCUACGGGAGGCAGCAGUAGGGAAUCUUCCGCAAUGGGCGAAAGCCUGACGGAGCAACGCCGCGUGAGUGAAGAAGGUCUUCGGAUCGUAAAACUCUGUUAUUAGGGAAGAACAAAUGUGUAAGUAACUAUGCACGUCUUGACGGUACCUAAUCAGAAAGCCACGGCUAACUACGUG